CUUGAGACCGGCGCACGGGUGCGUAACGCGUAUGCAAUCUACCCUUUACUGGGGAAUAGCCCGGAGAAAUUCGGGUUAAUCCCCCAUAGUACUAUUUAACUGCAUGGUUGAAUAGUUAAAGCAUUGCGGUAUAAGAUGGGCAUGCGUCCUAUUAGCUAGAUGGUGAGGUAACGGCUUACCAUGGCUACGAUAGGUAGGGGGCCUGAGAGGGUGACCCCCCACACUGGUACUGAGACACGGACCAGACUCC
Molecule: ribosomal RNA, 250 nt
Filed under: uncultured bacterium
Lineage: Bacteria
Description: partial 16S ribosomal RNA
Rfam family: Bacterial small subunit ribosomal RNA
Source: RNAcentral